RNAcentral lists this ribosomal RNA (467 nucleotides) under uncultured bacterium. RNAcentral's name for it is "partial 16S ribosomal RNA". It matches the Rfam family "Bacterial small subunit ribosomal RNA", at positions 28 to 507 of the family's 1533-position model. The record is from RNAcentral.
GACGAACGCUGGCGGCGUGCUUAACACAUGCAAGUCGAACGAUGACGCCCGAGCUUGCUCGGUCUGAUUAGUGGCGAACGGGUGAGUAACACGUGAGCAACCUGCCCUUCACUCUGGGAUAACCUCGGGAAAUCGGGGCUAAUACCGGAUAUGAGCUCCUGUCGCAUGGGGGGUGUUGGAAAGUUUUUCGGUGUAGGAUGGGCUCGCGGCCUACCAGUUUGUUGGUGAGGUAGUGGCUCACCAAGGCGAUGACGGGUAGCCGGCCUGAGAGGGCGACCGGCCACACUGGGACUGAGACACGGCCCAGACUCCUACGGGAGGCAGCAGUGGGGAAUAUUGCACAAUGGGCGAAAGCCUGAUGCAGCGACGCCGCGUGAGGGAUGACGGCCUUCGGGUUGUAAACCUCUUUCAGCAGGGAAGAAGCGAAAGUGACGGUACCUGCAGAAGAAGCGCCGGCUAACUACGUG